UAGGGAAUCUUCGGCAAUGGGGGCAACCCUGACCGAGCAACGCCGCGUGAGUGAAGAAGGUUUUCGGAUCGUAAAGCUCUGUUGUAAGAGAAGAACGUGUGUGAGAGUGGAAAGUUCACACAGUGACGGUAACUUACCAGAAAGGGAGGGCUAACUACGUGCCAGCAGCCGCGGUAAUACGUAGGUCCCGAGCGUUGUCCGGAUUUAUUGGGCGUAAAGCGAGCGCAGGCGGUUUAAUUAGUCUGACGUUAAAGGCAGUGGCUUAACCAUUGUUCGCUUUGGAAACUGUUAAACUGGAGUGCAGAAGGGGAGAGUAGAAUUCCAUGUGUAGCGGUGAAAUGCGUAGAUAUAUGGAGGAACACCGGUGGCGAAAGCGGCUCUCUUGUCUGUAACUGACGCUGAGGCUCGAAAGCGUGGGGAGCAAACAGG
This 429-nucleotide ribosomal RNA is filed under the name bacterium. RNAcentral's name for it is "partial 16S ribosomal RNA". It matches the Rfam family "Bacterial small subunit ribosomal RNA", at positions 355 to 776 of the family's 1533-position model. The record is from RNAcentral.